GACUUGUCUGCUUAAUUGCGAUAACAACGAGACCUCUCCUGCUAAAUAGCCCGGCUAGCUUUGGCUGGUCGCUGGCUUCUUAGAGGGACUUUUGGCUUAAGCUAAAGGAAGUUGUAGGCAAUAACAGGUCCGUGAUGCCCUUAGAUGUUCUGGGCCGCACGCGCGCUACACUGACAGAGCCAACGAGUUUUUUUCCUUAACCGAAAGGUUUGGGUAAUCUUGGUAAACUCUGUCGUGCUGGGGAUAGGGCAUUGCAAUC
RNAcentral lists this ribosomal RNA (259 nucleotides) under uncultured fungus. Its description in RNAcentral is "partial small subunit ribosomal RNA". It matches the Rfam family "Eukaryotic small subunit ribosomal RNA", at positions 1308 to 1591 of the family's 1831-position model. The record is from RNAcentral. Lineage: Eukaryota; Fungi.